CACGCCCUAAACGAUGUCAACUAGUUGUUGGGAGGGUAAAACCUUUUAGUAACGUAGCUAACGCGUGAAGUUGACCGCCUGGGGAGUACGGCCGCAAGGCUAAAACUCAAAGGAAUUGACGGGGACCCGCACAAGCGGUGGAUGAUGUGGAUUAAUUCGAUGCAACGCGAAAAACCUUACCUACCCUUGACAUGUCAGAAAUCCCUGAGAGAUUAGGGAGUGCCGCAAGGAAUCUGAACACAGGUGC
Molecule: ribosomal RNA, 247 nt
Filed under: uncultured bacterium
Lineage: Bacteria
Also listed under: 1 other name
Description: partial 16S ribosomal RNA
Rfam family: Bacterial small subunit ribosomal RNA
Source: RNAcentral